This 871-nucleotide ribosomal RNA is filed under the name uncultured haloarchaeon. RNAcentral's name for it is "bacterial SSU rRNA". It matches the Rfam family "Archaeal small subunit ribosomal RNA", at positions 477 to 1346 of the family's 1478-position model. Lineage: Archaea; Methanobacteriati; Methanobacteriota; Halobacteria; Halobacteriales; Halobacteriaceae. The record is from RNAcentral.
CGGCAGCCCAAGUGAUGGCCGCUAUUAUUGGGCCUAAAGCGUCCGUAGCUGGCCGUUCAGGUCCGUCGGGAAAUCCACUGGCUUAACCAGUGGGCGUCCGGCGGAAACCGUUCGGCUUGGAACAGGGAGACCAGAGGGGUACGUCCGGGGUAGGAGUGAAAUCCCGUAAUCCUGGACGGACCAUCGGUGGCGAAAGCGCCUCUGGAGAACUGAUUCGACAGUGAGGGACGAAAGCUGGGGUCUCGAACCGGAUUAGAUACCCGGGUAGUCCCAGCCGUAAACGAUGCUCGCUAGGUGUGUCGCAGGCUACGAGCCUGCGAUGUGCCGUAGGGAAGCCGAGAAGCGAGCCGCCUGGGAAGUACGUCCGCAAGGAUGAAACUUAAGGAAUUGGCGGGGGAGCACUACAACCGGAGGAGCCUGCGGUUUAAUUGGACUCAACGCCGGACAUCUCACCAGCUCCGACAGCAGUGAUGACAAUCAGGUUGAUGACCUUAUUCGACGCUGCUGAGAGGAGGUGCAUGGCCGCCGUCAGCUCGUACCGUGAGGCGUCCUGUUAAGUCAGGCAACGAGCGAGACCCGCACCUCUAGUUGCCAGCAGCAUCUCGCGAUGGCCGGGUACACUAGGGGGACUGCCGCUGCCAAAGCGGAGGAAGGAACGGGCAACGGUAGGUCAGUAUGCCCCGAAUGAGCUGGGCUACACGCGGGCUACAAUGGCCAGGACAAUGGGACGCUACCCCGAGAGGGGGCGCUAAUCUCCUAAACCUGGUCGUAGUUCGGAUUGUGGGCUGAAACUCGCCCACAUGAAGCUGGAUUCGGUAGUAGUCGCGUGUCAGUAGCGCGCGGCGAAUACGUCCCUGCCCCUUGCACACAA